This 467-nucleotide ribosomal RNA is filed under the name uncultured bacterium. Its description in RNAcentral is "partial 16S ribosomal RNA". It matches the Rfam family "Bacterial small subunit ribosomal RNA", at positions 28 to 506 of the family's 1533-position model. The record is from RNAcentral.
GACGAACGCUGGCGGCGUGCUUAACACAUGCAAGUCGAACGGAAAGGCCCUGCUUUUGUGGGGUGCUCGAGUGGCGAACGGGUGAGUAACACGUGAGUAACCUGCCCUUGACUUUGGGAUAACUUCAGGAAACUGGGGCUAAUACCGGAUAGGAGCUCCUGCUGCAUGGUGGGGGUUGGAAAGUUUCGGCGGUUGGGGAUGGACUCGCGGCUUAUCAGCUUGUUGGUGGGGUAGUGGCUUACCAAGGCUUUGACGGGUAGCCGGCCUGAGAGGGUGACCGGCCACAUUGGGACUGAGAUACGGCCCAGACUCCUACGGGAGGCAGCAGGGGGGAAUAUGGCACAAUGGGCGGAAGCCUGAGGCAGCAACGCCGCGUGCGGGAUGACGGCCUUCGGGUUGUAAACCGAUUUCGCCUGUGACGAAGCGUGAGGGACGGUAAUGGGUAAAGAAGCACCGGCUAACUACGU